Molecule: long non-coding RNA, 237 nt
Filed under: Panax ginseng (ginseng)
Lineage: Eukaryota; Viridiplantae; Streptophyta; Magnoliopsida; Apiales; Araliaceae
Description: long non-coding RNA (PGIN_LNC011338)
Source: RNAcentral
CGACAGUUCGAAAACUGCGAUUCUCGGAAUCCAAAUAUUUUUGGAUAUUUCGUCUUUUUUUUACCGAUUAACUUUUACGUAUUCUUCGGAUCUUUAAAAAAUUGAAAAACACUUUUCCACGUUAAGCGUUUUCCUUCACGUUUUCUCCUAACGUAGCUAAACAAAUGAAAAGUACACAGCAGUACUUUUCGUCGUUUUUAUUUCGUCCGAUUUCUGCACGUUUUUUGAGAAAAACUU